UGCUUUACGUGUAUGAUAGCCUUAAAAAAUUGUGAAAAUAAAACUCACCACAACAAAUAAGUAUGUGAAGUAAUAGAUACAUUAAGUAGCUUAAUUUAAUCAUUCCACAACAUAUACAUAUAUGAAAACAUCAUGUUGUACCAUAAGUACAUAAAACUUUUGUCAAUUAUACCUUAAUAAAGCUGGAGAAAAAAGAAAAAGUGAGAAUCUCGGGAAAGAAUUCUCUUGCCUAUGCAAAGUACAUUCAUUCAAAGAACUCAUGCAAGGUCCUACUUUUCUAGAAAAUGUUCUGUGAGCACUCCUGGCUUCAUGGCUCUUUUCCAUAUAGAAGUCCUAAAGUGUUCUAUUACUUGAAUAUUUAUUAACUAACUACUAUGUACCUACAUGAAAAUAAUCCUUUUUUAUUUUCAUGUUCAAUGCUGCAGAUAUAUUUAUAUGACAAUCUACCUCUUGAAUACAAAAAUAAUCCUGUGAACUUACCACCUACUAUCCCCUAAGGGAAGCCCUGAUAUUAAGGAAUCCAGCGAUGAGAGUGGAAAGGAAUUAAAGGGGUUGAAAUGCAGUUUUUGGUGGAAUUCAUUUGGAAAAGAGGGCUCUUAAUACCUGACUUUAAAUGGACCAGCCAACUUAUAGCAGGAUUAUAGCCACCUUAGGAUAAAGAUUAGUACUUGCUCUUCAUUCUAUAUUUGUAUAGAUUUGGUUUACUUGUUUUCCCUUAAUAGUCCACUCACAUAAUAUGCAUAUGUUAGGAAUUCCUACUAUAUGUCAGAUAAUAUGCUAGGUACUACCAAUUAUUAUCAAUAAGCAAGAUCAAUAGGUCCUUGCCAUACUGUGUACAUUUGUGUGUAGAACAAAUACCAAUGUGCAUGUGUAUGUGUUUGCAUAAAUUUUAAAUGUUAGGAUGAGACUGGACUAAGUUAAUUAUUCCAGGCCUCCUCUCCUCUAGUGAGGGCCUUAAAAAAGGAACAACUCUAUAUAUAAACACUAUACAGCAGCAGUCCCCAACCUUUUCAGUACCAGGAACCAGUUUUGUGGAAGACAAUUUUUCCACGAACUGGUGGGGGGCGGGGAGGAUGUCUGGUUUCAGAAUGAAACUGUUCCACCUCAGAUCAUCAGGCAUUAGUUAGAUUCUCACAAGGAGCACACAACCUAGAUCCCUCAUAUGCACAGCACAGUAGGGUUCGUGCUCCUAUGAGAAUCUAAUGCUGCCACUGAUCUGACAGGAGGUGGAGCUCAGGCCAUAAUGCUCACUCACCUGCCACUCACCUCCUGUGGUGUGGCCCAGUUCCUAACAGGCCACAGACAACUACUCGUCUGUGGCCUGGGUUGGGGACUCCUGCUAUACAGGAAGAGCCCUAUCUAUAUAAGUGUUAUAUUCAUAGUCUAUACUAGUGGCUCUCAGUUAUGAAUCCUUAGAUAGAUGGCAAAAGAGAUGCAUAAGAAUCACCCAGAAACUUGGUAAAAAUAGAAAAUUCCAGUCUCCAUACUCAGCAAUUUCAAUUUAGUAGGCUUAGAAUAAAUAUUUAUAAAGCUUCACCUAGAUGAUUCUGUCACUGGUAGAUCUGUGUCCCUAAACAGUGCCUUGAUUGAUUAUUUAAUUGUGCUAUACUUCUUUUAUCAUAGUUAAAGUAUGGCAAAGUAUUGUGGUAUUCAGUACCAGUAGCACAAAAUAGUUUAAUAGUAGCACAAAAUCGUUUAAGAAAAUAAAUAGUUUAAGUAAGUACAUAAACAAUGAUAUUUUAAGAAAAGCUAUGGUUUUUCUUUUUUUUUUUUUUUAUAUGAAUAGUUAAAUUUUUUUUCUUUUUUUUUUUAAUUAAUUUAUUUAUUUUUUAUUGAUCAUUCUUGGGUGUUUCUCGCAGAGGGGGAUUUAGCAGGGUCAUAGGACAAUAGUGGAGGGAAGGUCAGCAGAUAAACAAGUGAACAAAGGUCUCUGGUUUUCCUAGGCAGAGGACCCUGCGGCCUUGGCCUUCCGCAGUGUUUGUGUCCCUGGGUACUUAAGAUUAGGGAGUGGUGAUGACUCUUAACGAGCAUGCUGCCUUCAAGCAUCUGUUUAACAAAGCACAUCUUGCACCGCCCUUAAUCCAUUUAACCCUGAGUGGACACAGCACAUGUUUCAGAGAGCACAGGGUUGGGGAUAAGGUCACAGAUCAACAGGAUCCCAAGGCAGAAGAAUUUUUCUUAGUACAGAACAAAAUGAAAAGUCUCCCAUGUCUACUUCUAUCCACACAGACCCGGCAACCAUCCGAUUUCUCAAUUUUUUCCCCACCCUUCCCGCCUUUCUAUUCCACAAAACCGCCAUUGUCAUCAUGGCCCAUCCCCAGUGAGCCGCUGGGCACACCUCCCAGACGGGGUCGUGGCCGGGCAGAGGGGCUCCUCACUUCCCAGUAGGGGCGGCCGGGCAGAAGCGCCCCUCACCUCCCGGAUGGGGCGGCUGGCCGGGCGGGGGGCUGACCCCCCCACCACCCUCCCGGACGGGGCGGCUGGCCAGGCAGAGGGGCUCCUCACUUCCCAGUAGGGGCGGCCGGGCAGAGGCACCCCUCACCUCCUGGAUAGGGCGGCUGGCUGGGCGGGGGGCUGUCCCCCCCACCUCCCUCCCGGACGGGGCGGCUGGCCGGGCAGAGGGGUCCUCACUUCCCAGUAGGGGCGGCCGGGCAGAGGCGCCCCUCACCUCCCGGACGGGGCGGCCGGCCGGAAGGGGGGCUGACCCCCCCCACCUCCCUCCCGGACGGGGCGGCUGGCCGACCCCCCCCCCCCCGCCUCCCUCCCGGACGGGGCGGCUGGCCGGGCAGAGGGGCUCCUCACUUUCCAGUAGGGGCGGCCGGGCAGAGGCGCCCCUCACCUCCCGGACGGGGCGACUGGCCAGGCGGGGGGCUGAUCCCCCCACCUCCCUCCCGGACGGGGCGGCUGGCCAGGCGGGGGGCUGACCCCCCCCACCUCCCUCCCGGACGGGGCGGCUGGCCGGGCAGGGGGCUGACCCCCCCUCCCCCCUCCCGGACGGGGCGGCUGGCCGGGCGGGGGGCUGACCCCCCCACCUCCCUCCCGGAUGGGGCGGCUGGCCAGGCGGGGGGCUGAUCCCCCCACCUCCCUCCCAGACGGGGCGGCUGGCCGGGCGGGGGGCUGACCCCCCACCUCCCUCCCGGACUGGGCGGCUGGCCGGGCGGGGGGCUGACCCCCCCACCUCCCUCCUGGACGGGGCGUCUGGCCGGGCAGAGGGGCUCCUCACUUCCCAGUAGGGGCGGCCGGGCAGAGGAGCCCCUCACCUCCCGGACGGGGCGGCUGGCCGGGCGGGGGGCUGACCCCCCC
This 3303-nucleotide long non-coding RNA is filed under the name Homo sapiens (human). Its description in RNAcentral is "HSALNT0292032". Lineage: Eukaryota; Metazoa; Chordata; Mammalia; Primates; Hominidae. The record is from RNAcentral.